ACGCUCGACACCUACGGGAGGAGCAGUAGGGAAUCUUCCACAAUGGACGCAAGUCUGAUGGAGCAACGCCGCGUGAGUGAAGAAGGUCUUCGGAUCGUAAAACUCUGUUGUUAGAGAAGAACACGAGUGAGAGUAACUGUUCAUUCGAUGACGGUAUCUAACCAGCAAGUCACGGCUAACUACGUGCCGGCAGCCGCGGUAAUCUGAGCGGGCGUGCGAAGGCG
This 224-nucleotide ribosomal RNA is filed under the name uncultured bacterium. Its description in RNAcentral is "partial 16S ribosomal RNA". It matches the Rfam family "Bacterial small subunit ribosomal RNA", at positions 328 to 540 of the family's 1533-position model. The record is from RNAcentral.